CCGAGUGGUGUGGAUGUUUAUUGGGCCUAAAGCAUCCGUAGCUGGCUAAGUUAGUCCCUUGUUAAAUCCACCGAAUUAAUCGUUGGAUUGCGGGGGAUACUGCUUGGCUAGGGGACGAGAGAGGCAGACGGUAUUUCCGGGGUAGGGGUGAAAUCCUAUAAUCCCGAGAAGACCACCAGUGGCGAAGGCUGUCGGCUAGAACGCG
RNAcentral lists this ribosomal RNA (205 nucleotides) under uncultured crenarchaeote. Its description in RNAcentral is "partial 16S ribosomal RNA". It matches the Rfam family "Archaeal small subunit ribosomal RNA", at positions 484 to 689 of the family's 1478-position model. Lineage: Archaea; Thermoproteati; Thermoproteota. The record is from RNAcentral.